UAUGUGGGCCAAAUAAUUUGGGAGGUUCUGCCACAGGAACUGUCCAGCCUAAAUUGCUUUUGUAUAAGUUUUGAUCAACUGGAACAAUUUUUCUGCAGAAAAGAACGCGCCCUAAACUACAUUCAUGUUCCUCUUCUUGUAUCCUUCGUUUCCGUUCCUAUCCAAGCUGCUAACAAACUAGUAUCAGAUUAGGCGAUUCCUUGCUCUGUCCCAUGGCGCCGCCAUCUCCAUCUGAUGAUGCGUCCCUCACUCUUGCCUUGGAAAACCAAACCCGGGAGGUCCUUGCCAAAUUGGAUAAACGGCUCCAAACCCUCGACAACAAAUGGGAGACGGGGGUGGCGCUCUCGAAUCCGCGGCGACGGAUGCGGCUCGAUCCGUCACCAACUUCUCCACCGGGCUCCGCGCUGAUGUCGAAGCUCACCUCACGGCGUCCGACGCGGCUACUGAUGCCCGCCUGCGCCAGAUCGAGGUGGAUACCGGCUCUCGUCUCACCGCCAUAGAGUCCGCAGUCCAGCUGUUCGACUGCUGGCGCCCCCGAGUGGACUCCUCCCUCGACGCCAUGAAGACGAACCUGGAUCGGCUCUGUUCGGAGGCGUCCAGGAUGGAGGUCGUAGGCUUCCAAGGUGUGUUCGGCGGGUUUCCGGGCGUACUCGGAUCUCCCGGUUCCGGCGCGACUUCGUCAGGCCUCCUCGGAUCCCCGCCUUCCUUCGCUCCUACCGGAGCGGUACCGGUGCGCCCAUCUGCCACCGUCGACCACUCCGACGCCUAUCGUUUUGGGCCCAGCUACGAAAACUAUCUCCGAGACAGUGGGCUUCGGUAUCCUGACUGCCGAUGGCCGCUUCCCGGUCACGGGAUUAGUCGUCUUGUGUCUUCAACAUUACGAAGUGAUGAUGGCCUUCUUUUUCCUGAAAGGUGUUGUUUGUGGCGUUUAAAUCUCUACUUAAGUCACUUAGGGUAUCAUACACAGUUUGGGUUCUUUGGUAGGUAAAUCCUCCUCAAGACCCAUUAAUCUGGCAAUGACACUUGGAUAUAUUAUCUUUGACAAUUUUACUCUUCUUCUUUAGACAUCUCAUUAUUUAUUUAUUUCAUUAUUCAUAAUUAUAAGCAGUAAUCCAAUUGCACGAUGAUGACUAUCUUGCUCCUCUCCAAGCUGAUCGAGAAAAAGAGGUGAAGCUUGUGCAAUAGGUUGAACUCCACAGGGUAGAGGAAGCUGCAGCAAGAGAGGCUGCUCUUGAACAUCAAAAGAAAGAAAAGAAGAAGCUAAAAAAGAACACGAGGAAGAGGUAGUUCACUUAGUACUAUCAAAGUCAAAGUUGCAGAAUAUGAUUGAGAUUCAUAUAUUUACUUAUACAGUUUAGUAAGCUACAGCUUGGUUCGGUAAAUUACAGAAGCUUCAUGAAUCAUGAUCUCUUAUGCAUGGAUGGUAAAUUAUUUUUAGUUUACAUCUCAGUGUUCAUUUUACUUAAUUGACCAUCAAUAGCAUGGAGUACCAAAUUUUCUUCGUCUUAGGAAAUAUAUCCUCAUUACUUGUGCGAACCUCUCAACUUAUGGAAUGAUACUUAGUCUGCUCUCUUUCGUCUAGGUUCAUUUGAUCGUUCUUUUACAGUAUUAAUACAACUUCUAUUUUCAAGCUACUGAGAAAGUUGCUGAAAUUGGACAACUGAACGAUGGUUAUAUGUUUGACACAUCAACCGACAUGUCAUGAAUGUGAAGAUAAUACACCCUACCCUCCAUUGACCACUACAUUUUUUGUUAUAUUUUGCGUUUUUUUGACAUUAGUUGCUUAUAGGUUAGAUUCCCCAACAUGUCCAGUUUGUUCCCAAGGGUUUUGUGGGGAUUUCAAACAAACAUUAACCCCUUCCGGGUUGGAUUGGAAAAUGGACUGCAGACUGCCUUAUAAUCCUUGGGGGCAUGCUGUGCACGACAUGGCCACUGAGAGCCGAUGGAGGCCAGAUGAGAAGAAGCUGGCUUCUGCUGCCACCGAGAAAUUCGAAGAGGAAGAUAAUACCUCCUAUUGUUAACAGUGAUGUGUCAAUGGAGUGUGUACAGCAUGAAAAAACCAAACAUGACAGUUCAAGAGAGACAUUUCAGAACUGUUUAGUUUGUAUAUCCCAUGAGUUAUCUCCUAACAUCUUUGAACUGCUUCAACAUUGCAUCGAAAGCAAUACAGACAUGCCUGAUGAUGGAGAGAUAGAUAUUUUCAUCGAAGCUGUCAGUGACAUGCUAUUUGAGUUGCAGAAACAUUUCAUAUUUUCUAUUAUUAUAUACAUAGGUUUUUGUAUGGAGGUACUAAAAGCCCUCCUCCUGAAAUAUAGUAUGAUUACCACCUUCUCUACAAUCCUUUUUGUUUUUGUUUUAUUUUUAUGUUGAAGCAAAGAACCAUAAAAUAUCUGUUUGGAAGGGAUGAGAUUUGAAGGUGAUGAGGCUCCUUAAAGAAGGUUCAAUGGAACAAAUAUUAGCAUCAGGAGUUUGCUGGCCAUGUCAAAAUCUCUAUGGGCAGAUUCUGACUAGAGACCUCUAAAGGUUCAAUGAGAUGAACAUUCAUCAAGUCCUAGUCUAGAUAGAAUCUCAUGGUUCCAAGACUGCCUUCAGGUUUUGUACGCACUGUUAGUCUUCAGAACGCUGGUGCAACUAGCAAUAAAAAAGAAAGAGUGAAGGACUUGGCGACUGGCGCCUGACAGUGAGGGUUCUCCAUCGCUGGACUUCUCCCUUUUGUGCAGACGCCAUCGGGUGCUGCGACACGCGCUUGCUGUAGCAAGCGAGGAAUAGGCUACGGUCACCAUCCCAUACCGGAUUUUGUUUGGGCCACGCCGCAAGCAACAGGAUGAUGACACCACUGCGGGGUGAAGCGACAAUCCCAUCUCCGCUGUGGGAAUCAUGGGUUAGCGCUUCAUUCUUGGUGGUUUCGCAUGUUUUUCCUGGUAGUCUUAGGUACUAUUCUUGCUUACCUGGACAUCGCUGGCACUAUUUUUUGCGGCAUCUGGUGGGUUCGACUAUGACGAUUACCCUCACCUUUGUAAACCCUGGAUUGAUGGAUUUUUUAAUAGCUAAAUAGCAGUUCUAGCCGACUAUUUAGACUUCCCUGUGUAUGGUGUUUGUUGGAGCUUUUUCCAUUU
Zea mays is the source of this 3116-nucleotide RNA transcript. RefSeq lists it as uncharacterized. NCBI's taxonomy places the organism in Eukaryota, Viridiplantae, Streptophyta, Magnoliopsida, Poales, Poaceae. The transcript has 6 exons. The record is from RefSeq and is a predicted model, not a curated record.